This 402-nucleotide ribosomal RNA is filed under the name uncultured Thermomonosporaceae bacterium. Its description in RNAcentral is "partial 16S ribosomal RNA". It matches the Rfam family "Bacterial small subunit ribosomal RNA", at positions 355 to 774 of the family's 1533-position model. The record is from RNAcentral. Lineage: Bacteria; Bacillati; Actinomycetota; Actinomycetes; Streptosporangiales; Thermomonosporaceae.
UGGGGAAUAUUGCACAAUGGGCGGAAGCCUGAUGCAGCGACGCCGCGUGAGGGAUGAAGGCCUUCGGGUUGUAAACCUCUUUCAGCACCGACGAAGUUGACGGUAGGUGCAGAAGAAGCGCCGGCUAACUACGUGCCAGCAGCCGCGGUAAUACGUAGGGCGCAAGCGUUGUCCGGAAUUAUUGGGCGUAAAGAGCUCGUAGGCGGUUUGUCGCGUCUGCCGUGAAAGCCUGGGGCUUAACCCUGGGUCUGCGGUGGAUACGGGCAGGCUAGAGGCAGGUAGGGGAGAACGGAAUUCCCGGUGUAGCGGUGAAAUGCGCAGAUAUCGGGAGGAACACCGGUGGCGAAGGCGGUUCUCUGGGCCUGUACUGACGCUGAGGAGCGAAAGCGUGGGGAGCGAACA